Molecule: ribosomal RNA, 253 nt
Filed under: uncultured bacterium
Lineage: Bacteria
Description: partial 16S ribosomal RNA
Rfam family: Bacterial small subunit ribosomal RNA
Source: RNAcentral
UACGAGGGGGGCUAGCGUUGCUCGGAAUGACUGGGCGUAAAGGGCGCGUAGGCGGUUCAUACAGUCAGAUGUGAAAUUCCCGGGCUUAACCUGGGGGCUGCAUUUGAUACGUGUGGGCUUGAGUGAGGAAGAGGGUUGUGGAAUUCCCAGUGUAGAGGUGAAAUUCGUAGAUAUUGGGAAGAACACCGGUGGCGAAGGCGGCUCUCUGGACCACAACUGACGCUGAGGCGCGAAAGCGUGGGGAGCAAACAGG